RNAcentral lists this transfer-messenger RNA (378 nucleotides) under Bacilli. RNAcentral describes it as "RUG13038 sp902789425 Standard tmRNA". It matches the Rfam family "transfer-messenger RNA". From Rfam's summary of the family: Bacterial tmRNA, also known as 10Sa RNA or SsrA, is named for its dual tRNA and mRNA-like properties. Its role is to liberate the mRNA from a stalled ribosome. RNAcentral also lists the same sequence under 1 other name. The record is from RNAcentral. Lineage: Bacteria; Bacillati; Bacillota.
GGGGCUGUAUUUGGUUUCGACAGGAAUAUUGAAUACUAAGCUGCAAGUCGGAGGAACACGUUACGAACGAAGAAAAAUAAAUGCAAACAAUUUUAAAAACACACUUGCUUCACUAUUCAGAGUUAAUAGUGCAGCCUUAGCUUAAUUAAUAAAAGAGGUGUACUUUCUAUUAUCUUUUCCUACGUAGAUUUUAGAAGGUUCGAUUUUAGUAGGAUAUGUUAUUAUUUAGCUUAGAAGUAAUAAUGAAUAUUUAUAAGCUUACUAAUUUAUUUGUUGUUAGUUACUUAUUAAAUUAGGACAUACUAUAACUAACUAAACUUGUAGAUGCUUUUUUGGAUAUAUUUUUGGACAGGAGUUCGAUUCUCCUCAGCUCCACCA